GUAGGUGGCAAGCGUUGUCCGGAAUUAUUGGGCGUAAAGCGCGCGCAGGCGGUUCUUUAAGUCUGAUGUGAAAGCCCACGGCUCAACCGUGGAGGGUCAUUGGAAACUGGAGAACUUGAGUACAGAAGAGGAAAGCGGAAUUCCACGUGUAGCGGUGAAAUGCGCAGAGAUGUGGAGGAACACCAGUGGCGAAGGCGGCUUUCUGGUCUGUAACUGACGCUGAGGCGCGAAAGCUUGGGGGGAGCAAACAGGAUUAGAUACCCUGGUAGUCCACGCCGUAAACGAUGAGUGCUAAGUGUUAGGGGGUUUCCGCCCCUUAGUGCUGCAGCUAACGCAUUAAGCACUCCGCCUGGGAGUACGGCCGCAAGGCUG
This 372-nucleotide ribosomal RNA is filed under the name uncultured organism. Its description in RNAcentral is "partial 16S ribosomal RNA". It matches the Rfam family "Bacterial small subunit ribosomal RNA", at positions 527 to 896 of the family's 1533-position model. The record is from RNAcentral.